Molecule: long non-coding RNA, 2758 nt
Filed under: Nicotiana tabacum (common tobacco)
Lineage: Eukaryota; Viridiplantae; Streptophyta; Magnoliopsida; Solanales; Solanaceae
Description: long non-coding RNA (NTAB_LNC015536)
Source: RNAcentral
CCAAACUCCAGUAGAAAUAAGUCACAAGCUCUAAGAGAAAUGUUAAAUAUCCCUAUACAUCAGAGUCUAAUGAAGACAAGGAAGAACAACAUAAAUAAUGUAGAGGGGGACUCCGAGGUCUGCGGACGCGGGCCAAUGUACCUUGAAGUCUCCACGAACUCACUGCUCACUAAUAUCGGGUCUGGUAGGAGGUACCUAGAUCUGCACAACAAAAGGUGUGCAGAAGCAUAGUAUGAGUAUACCACAAUGGUACUCAGCAAGUGCCAAGCCUAACCUCGGUAGAGAAGUGAUGAGGUCAGAUCAGGGACCUACUGGAAUAAAAAGGAAUCAUGGCAGAAGAUAUAAUACUGUAAUGGAAAGACUAACAAAUUAAUAAUGAGAAAUUACAGAAAAGUAACAACACAACAACUAGAGGUAAACAACAGGGGCGCUCCCGAGGUACCGCUUUGUAGUCCCAAAAAUAAAUACACAAUAAAGGAGCUCUUAAGGUACCGCCUCGUAGUCCAAAAAGUAAAUAUGCAACAUAGGAGCUCCCGAGGUACCGCCUCGUAGUCCCAAAAAGUAAAUAAACAACUCGUAGUCGAAGGAACAACGAAUUUACAGCAAGGAAUUCUACAAUUAAAGACUAAAUAUUAAAAUCAAGGAAGCAGAAUGUCACGCUCCAAACCUGGGGAGGCGUGACUGGCACCCGGUGCCGUAGUGGCCCGAACGAACCACAAUGUAACUCAUUCAUUCCUUUUGUAACUAUCGUGGGCCAACAUGGCCACAACUCGAAAUGCAUAAUUAUAAGGGGGCAUUACUGUAUCACUGAAUCAUAUUUCUUAAAACAUGAAUACAUAUGGGCCCGUCAAGGCCUCUGACAUAUUGUACCAAAUGAACCUAUGUCUACAAAGCCUCUAAGAUUAUUUGACAUAAAAUGUGACAGGGUACCGGCCUACCCAUAAGUCUGUAGUAAAACUCUGACACGAUAACUCAUAGACUCGGCUGCACUCCGAAUGAGAUAGAGUCUUACCGAUCCUUCGCUGAAUGUCAAUCUCGUGUACUAUGAGGGCUCGUCAAAUUAAUUAUCUAUACCUGCAGGCAUGAAUGCAACGUCCCCCACAAAAGGACAUCAGUACGAAUAAUGUACUGAGUAUGUAAGGCAUGUAAAUCAAUAUAUAAAGGACAUGGAAGAAACAUGGAGUAAAGGACUCAACUUGUAAGUCUGGAUAGCUCUGUAAAUCAUGAAAUAUUUAUAAUGUCAUGCGUAUAAAUGUCAUGUAAUGCAUAGGUCUGUACAGAUAUAACAUCAUCAAGCCUUUGAGGGCAUCCCAUCAUAUCAUCUCGGCCACUGUGGGCAAAUCAUCAACGUAUAUCAGCUGAUCAGGUGGUGGUGCGUAUAUAAUGCCGUAACAUUUUUCCGUAUCCCAUAUACAUAUAGAUAUAUGUAUAUACACGUAUAUAACGCCAUUUGAGUCAUAUUGCAGCCACUGAGGGCAACAUCAUCAUCGUAUACCAGCCGAUCAAGUGGUGGUGCAUAUACAACGCCAUAACCUUUUCCAUAUCCCCUAUACACACACACACACACACACACACACACACACAUAUAUAUAUAUAUAUAUAUAUAUAUAUACAUACAUACAUAUAUAUAUACGCGUAUAUAACGCCAUCUGGUCAUGGGUCAAUGUACAUGAAUGCAAUGCAUGAAAAGUACGUUAAUAAAAAAUUUCGGAAUAUCAUAAGACCAUUAUAGCUUUGAAUAAUAUCAUGAAGUAAACUUUUUCAACUUACGUAUUUUUCUGGGACCAAUGAAUAGAUGAUAGAAUAAUAUGACACAUAGUUCAUUUUGUCCGUGUAGUAUAGAUAAUGCCAAAAAGAAAGAAGUUAUAGCCUUAACAUACCUGAGUAGCAGCUGAAAGCCCUUAAGCAGAAGUUUACUCAACUCAUUAUUCGGUGAUAAUCCAGAACUUUUAUUUAAUUUGCUUUUGUUCUUCGUUUCUCAGUCUAAUUGGCAAAAUUCAUUGUCUAUUUCGUUUUCUUUUCCUAUCAAUAUAUUUCCAUAUUUUUUAGGGAAACCAAAAGUUCCAAAAAGAAAAAGAAAGAAUACCGAAAAUAAUUGGCCCUCUUUUAGAUCAAAUAUUGAUACUGAAGUGGGAAAUGAUAGGAGGGUGUCCUUUGGGAGUAAAAAUUGACUAGGCAUGGGUCCCUUGAAAGAACAUUUCGCCGGCAUAUCCAACCUUGUACAACAACCAUAAAUUACUUUGAGCUCCUACAAAGAACAUGGCUGUAACUUCAACUUUUGAAGAAGGUUGAAUGACUAGGAAAUAGGCAAGGGUGGAAAAUUUUGAAAACUUGCGCAAAGACAAGGAGGAACAGAGAUGAGGAUUUUUGGGAAGCACAUAUUUCCAAGAUAAAUUGCACUCUUCUCUUUUUGGGUAUGCAUUUCUUGCUCUUUCUAUGUAUAUGCAUGUAAAAUAAAAUAAUGAUCUGUAAAACUAUCAUUAAUUUGUUUGUUUUUUGUGGCAAAUGAAAAAUAGGGUGUUGUUCUUGGCUUCCACAUAGUACUGAAAUUGGUUAGAAGUCUCAUUUUGUGAGCUGAAUUUUCAUGUACUAUUAGUUUCUAUAUCUAGAAGAAAUAGUAAUGCUCUUAGGAAAACAAAAUGGGCAGAAAAGCCUCCUUACAUGACAUAUACUUGAACGAAAAUGAACUUUGGGGACACUGUUGAACAAAAUACUAAUUUGUACAGAGAUGUCGUCAAUACUUUUCGUUCAGAAUUUG